RNAcentral lists this ribosomal RNA (483 nucleotides) under uncultured bacterium. Its description in RNAcentral is "partial 16S ribosomal RNA". It matches the Rfam family "Bacterial small subunit ribosomal RNA", at positions 28 to 523 of the family's 1533-position model. The record is from RNAcentral.
GACGAACGCUGGCGGCGUGCUUAACACAUGCAAGUCGAACGAUGAUCAGGAGCUUGCUCCUGUGAUUAGUGGCGAACGGGUGAGUAACACGUGAGUAACCUGCCCCUGACUCUGGGAUAAGCGUUGGAAACGACGUCUAAUACUGGAUAUGAUCACUGGCCGCAUGGUCUGGUGGUGGAAAGAUUUUUUGGUUGGGGAUGGACUCGCGGCCUAUCAGCUUGUUGGUGAGGUAAUGGCUCACCAAGGCGACGACGGGUAGCCGGCCUGAGAGGGGGACCGGCCACACUGGGACUGAGACACGGCCCAGACUCCUACGGGAGGCAGCAGUGGGGAAUAUUGCACAAUGGGCGAAAGCCUGAUGCAGCAACGCCGCGUGAGGGAUGACGGCCUUCGGGUUGUAAACCUCUUUUAGUAGGGAAGAAGCGAAAGUGACGGUACCUGCAGAAAAAGCACCGGCUAACUACGUGCCAGCCGCCGCCGUAA